UCGUUCAGCAGAAGGUCUAUCGAAAACAACCUCUUUACCUUCAAGGUAGGGGUAAGGUUUGUGUACACUUUACCCUCCCCAAACCCUACUUAAGGGAUUACACUUGGUUUGUUGUUGAUAUCUCGUGUAAUAGCAAAGCAUUCUCAAACUUCAUAUAACUACAUAUGUAUGACAUAAACCCAAAAAACAAACCAAAUACAAUCAAUCUAUAAUUCUUGAUCAUAGAUGUAGUCAAAUUACCCUAAGUAAGUGAUCAAAAUCCAGUGUGCAUCUCACACCCACACUUAUGUCGUGUUGACACGUGUGUGGUAGGAAUUUCGAAGAGUCUCAGUACCAUAGAUAAACCAUGAUAGUAGGGUACCAUACCCCUAAACUCUACAAUCCAAAAGAAGGCACAAGACUUCUCAUAUCUUGAUUUAGUUAUAACUAACUUUCUUGAGAUAUUUUCGGUUACACUAAUUGCUCUUCUCGUUUUGCAUAUGAUAGAGGCUUAAUUCAUUUUGAUUAUUUUUUAUAUAAUUGUGGUGUCUGACAACUUUGCGCACCUCGCUUAAUUCCACAAGAAUACUUGUUACCUCCUACCAACACAAGUGCCAGGUAACUCAAUCCAACAUGGCUUAGACAAAUGGAAAAACAUCAGCUGGAAUUUGAACCUCAGACCCACUUCAUUGAUCACAACGCCACACCCUUGGGUGCUCAUUUUAUUUAAGCUUUGAGUAACUAAACUCAUUUUCCAACAAAAAAUGACCAACUAGCUUGCUAGAUAAUAUAAUUGAAAAACGAAUGAUAACACAUUACAACACUCUUAAAAUAUUAUUCUCUCCGGGCCAAUUUAUGUGGUGGAAUUCGACUCAACACAAAGUUUAAGAAAAGAACUUUUGGACUUAUGGCCUUGAACCUACUAUGAGAUUCUUAUGACUAAAAAAGUAUGACAUUAAGAGUAAAAUGAAAAUUUUUAAAUGAAAUAUUUCCAAAUAAAAGGUAUCAUUCUUUUGGAAUGGACUAAUAAGAACAACGACAUAUAAUAUGUAAUAGAGGGAGUAUUAAAGAGUAUUACAAAUAAUUUCUUAAUAACUAGAUAAGUAGUUUGAAAGAUACAUAUGAAAAAUGAAUCAGAAAAUAUUAUUAUCUUUUUGUGCUUCAUUGUUAAAUACUUUUAUUUCUUCAGAUUUUUCAAAGGAUUGUUGUCCAAAGAUAAAAGGUGGUCAAACUAGGGAAAAGAUAAGUUGUUUACCGGAAAGUUCUAAAUCAUAUGUCUGCAUGUUGUGUUCCACAUAGGAUCAGCAUGAAUACCUAAAUAACCUGCCCAUACACAUCAGGAUGAGAUGGAGAAAAAUAAAAGCAAGAUAAGAAUAACUGCCUUGUAAGAGAAGGCAAUACAUACAAUCCAGACAAGCACAUGAAUUAUAGAUCUUACAUGUCAAAUUGAUAUCUUUGAAUGGCUAUUUUUUCUUGCCUAAUUAAUUAAGCAACACUUCAAGGAUGACCCCACACAUGUUCCUAAGGGGACAGGCAAGUGGUGGCUAUGAAUCAUCACUACUGUACAAUAAUGUCAUAAACUCGAAUUUUUCAUCUUGUCAACUUUAACAUACAAGACUGGUAAAACUAACUUGAGAUAAAUUCGAAAGCAUAUGAUGGCUAACCUAAUAGUAACAAUAUGAUUCUCAACAAUGUCCCUCUUGAGAUUAAAAAUUAUUGUUUUUAGUUUAAACAAAUGCUUAAUCAUAAAGAAUUACCUACAAAAUAACCAGUUAAUUUUCAUGGGAAAGAAGUUGAGUCGAUUAAGCCAAAUUAAAAUACCUUACUAAUUCUGAAGAGAUAACUUCAGUAUGUGAAACUUUUUCUUACUUUGGCUCAACUUACAAAAGAAGGCAGCAUCAUAAAGCAAAUCUGUCAACUAAUCUAAAGUUUUAAAAAAAAAAUACACAUGUGCACACAAAUCUUAAUGACAAAAUGAGUCAGCAUGAGAUUAGUUUACUGUAAUUGACCAGACAGCUAAAAGAAGACAUUUUCAAUACCUUACGAGAAAAGAGAAAAAGAUAUAAAAGGAAUUUAGAAAAUAAAGGGAGUGGUUGAACAUGCACUGCACUUUGAUUGUUUUUAGAAUAUUUCAAAUUUCAAUCAACAAAAAGAUUAUUGAAGACACUCCCAUCUCCCUGACAACCUUUUUCUUCUUGAUACAAAAGAAAAUUCUGAAAAAGCAUAUGCAUGACCUUUUUUGGUUAUUUCAGAUGACCCAUAGCUGACUCAUGCAACAAUCAGUUAAAAGAUUCACCAACUCCUCUGCAAGCACCUAUAUAUAAUGCUACAUGGAAUGCUUUUAAACCAUCAACCAAACUUAAAUAUUUCUCACAUACCUUCAAAAAUACGGUAAUACUCCACCUCAAAUCAGAACCACAAUGAAGAACUUACUCCAUGGAAAUUUGGUGGGUAUUCCCAUGAGUUCAGCAGUAUGUUCACUUGAAAGGCAGCCGAAAAGACUACUUGCCCUAUCUGCUUGCGAAGACCAUAUCGUUCCAUAUGGAGCUUCAAAGAACUUGUCUCAAAUAAAGCAAAGUGAGUAUCCCUGGUCUCUUAAGGAAGAAUCAACUUGAUCUGACCCUUGAAUGUAGAGAUCAUAAAAAUAACAAUAUUCUUGAAUAUGCAGGAAAAUAUGGCAUUGUUAAGAUGAACAAAUUGGGAGAAAGGAUGGAUUGUCUUGUACAAAGCAUCCGUGAGCAUGGUAAGCACUUAAAUUCUCUAUAAAAAACUUAAAUAUAUUUAUUGAAAAUAUUACUAAGAUAACAUUUUGUUCAAGUCGAAAAAUAAGUAUUUGAACUUGAAGUUGAAAGGGGUAUUUGGGAAUUGAAAUUGUGUCCGGACAUGAGUUCCGUUUGAAAAAAAAAAAGUUUUAAGCGAAAACAAUUAUCUCACUCAAAAAUGCUACUCAGACAAGUUAAUUCCAUACUAUACCAGUCUUACAAAUGCUAAAACAUUCGCCAACUGCGAAUACUGAUGGACAAACUUCACCUUAAGUAUUUGCAAGUGAUGUCAUGACCAAACACUAGUGUAAAUCUAAAGAACUCAGAGAAGUGAGUCAUGAAGUACAAAAUUCAUGCAAGAAGCACAUGCAUACAUGAUAGAAAACAUUGAUUUUAAAUGUACUCUAAUUGUGCAGUGAGCCUAAGCGCGAAACUAACAGAAACUUUAAAGGGAAAAUUGAGCCUUGGAGCAAAAAUUCUUCAAGUAGGAGGGUUGAAGAAAAUAUUCAGGCAGAAGUUCAGUGUUAGAGAUGAUGAAAAGCUAUUGAAAGUUUGUCAAUGCUAUUUAUCAACUACAGCUGGUCCAAUAGCAGGCCUUCUCUUCAUCUCUACCGAUAAGAUUGCUUUCUGCAGUGAGAGAUCAAUAAAGCUCUCAUCUCCAACUGAAAAGUUGCUUAGAAUCUACUAUAAGGUACCACUCUGCUCCGUUUGUCUUUCAACUCUUAAUUUUCUAACCACGUAAAGCAUAAUCUAACUGGUUCACAAUGGCAGGUAUCAAUCCCAGUAAGUAAGAUAAUGAAAGCAAAAGAGAGCAAGAAUAUGCAAAAGCCAUCACACAAGUAUAUACAAGUAAUUACAGAGGAUGAUUUUGAGUUCUGGUUUAUGGGAUUUCUCAAUCAUCAAAAGACACUAAGGUAUCUGCAGCAGGCAAUCUCCAGCUCAAGCAAGUUAUGAAGACAACAUUUUUUCCUUUGUUCAUUUUUUUUCCAAUGAGCUCAUUCUUCAAUAUAAAACAUUCAUGCAAAAACGAAGUCAGGGAUCUGUUAAAACUUUGUAACUAGAUCCAUUGCUCAAAGGAAGCUUUAGGUUUAAGCUUUGUGCCCUUAUGAGUUAAUGGGAAUGUACAGACUUUUUUUUUGAAACUGGUAGCUUUUGUAUAGACUUAUUUUCUUUUUUGAGAAAGCAAGAGAUACAAAUGUAUAAAUUUAUUAUAAAACUUGUGCAGAUAGAUUGGUUUUUUUUGUAGAUUCAUUUAUCUUUCUACUUGUCCUUAGAGUAGACUUUAUGACCCAAGUGGUAGAUAUGAAAACAAGAACAAUAUGCUAGUUAUAGAAUUAGCAUUUUAGAUUGUUUAUAUGCAAAUUUAAUACUGCAUUCACAAGCUUUGCUGCCUUCAAGUUCUUUUAGUAUCCUUGAGAUAAGAAAAGGUGUAGCCAUUCUCACAAUGGAAUGCUACCCAUUCAUGAAAAGUGAACUGGUAUCAGCGUCCAUAAAAUGAUGAACCAGCCAAUUUGAAAUACUAAAAUUGGCAGUGUGUUUAACUUCUCUGCAUUUUACACUAUCAAGUUACAUAAAUGAUAACCACAGGUAACUGUAUUAAAAAGGUGGAUUUAGUAACCUGAAAAUCUGGGCAAGUUACCUGCUACAAGACGUUAAUAUACACUGUCAAUGUAAAGGCAACUUACCUACUAUAACAUGCUAAAAUACACUAUCAAUGUGAAAAAAAUGUUAUAUCAUCACUAAUAUACACUUGGUUUGUUGUUGAUAUCUCAGGUAAUAGCAAAGCAUUCUCAAACUUCAUAUUACUACAUAUUUAUGACAUAAACCCAAAAAACAAACCAAAUACAAUCAAUCUAUACUUCUUGAUCAUAGAUGUAGUCAAAGCACCCUAAGUAAGUGAUCAAAAUCCGGUGUGGAUCUCACACCCACACUUAUGUCGUGUUGACACGUGUGUGGUAGGAAUUUCGAAGAGUCUCAGUACCAU
Molecule: long non-coding RNA, 4725 nt
Filed under: Solanum tuberosum (potato)
Lineage: Eukaryota; Viridiplantae; Streptophyta; Magnoliopsida; Solanales; Solanaceae
Description: long non-coding RNA (STUB_LNC004340)
Source: RNAcentral